GAUGAAGAACGUAGCGAAAUGCGAUAAGUAAUGUGAAUUGCAGAAUUCAGUGAAUCAUCGAAUCUUUGAACGCACAUUGCGCCCGCCAGUAUUCUGGCGGGCAUGCCUGUUCGAGCGUCAUUACAACCCUCAGGCCCCCGGGCCUGGCGUUGGGGAUCGGCGGAGCCCCCCGUGGGCACACGCCGUCCCCCAAAUGCAGUGGCGGUCCCGCCGCAGCUUCCAUCGCGUAGUAGCUAACACCUCGCGACUGGAGAGCGGCGCGGCCACGCCGUAAAACACCCAACUCUUCUGAAGUUGACCUCGAAUCAGGUAGGAAUACCCGCUGAACUUAAGCAUAUCAAUAAGCGGAGGGA
RNAcentral lists this unclassified non-coding RNA (353 nucleotides) under soil metagenome. RNAcentral's name for it is "partial contains 5.8S ribosomal RNA, internal transcribed spacer 2, and large subunit ribosomal RNA". The stretch from base 1 to 120 matches the Rfam family "5.8S ribosomal RNA", at positions 35 to 154 of the family's 154-position model. The record is from RNAcentral.